Molecule: small RNA, 196 nt
Filed under: Thermacetogenium phaeum
Lineage: Bacteria; Bacillati; Bacillota; Clostridia; Thermoanaerobacterales; Thermoanaerobacteraceae
Also listed under: 1 other name
Description: c-di-AMP sequence
Rfam family: c-di-AMP riboswitch aptamer (ydaO/yuaA leader)
About the family: This family represents a conserved RNA structure found upstream of the ydaO and yuaA genes in Bacillus subtilis and related genes in other bacteria. The ydaO/yuaA element is thought to act as a genetic "off" switch for the ydaO and yuaA genes in its native state.
Source: RNAcentral
CAAAAAAAUAUGCCGAAUCCGCACAAAAAAACAAAACUGGGAGCAAAGUGCGGUACGGGGGAACCGUUUUCGGGCAACGCCUGCACGGCGUGCCCAGGGGUGAAUCGCUGCCGGAAGCUUGCUAGUCCGGUAGCGUAGGGACAACCUUUCAACCGAACCCAUCAGCUUACCCCGGAGGCAAAGAAAGGGAGGAAGA